RNAcentral lists this ribosomal RNA (468 nucleotides) under uncultured bacterium. RNAcentral describes it as "partial 16S ribosomal RNA". It matches the Rfam family "Bacterial small subunit ribosomal RNA", at positions 28 to 507 of the family's 1533-position model. The record is from RNAcentral.
GACGUACGCUGGCGGCGUGCUUAACACAUGCAAGUCGAACGGAAAGGCCCUGCUUUUGUGGGGUGCUCGAGUGGCGAACGGGUGAGUAACACGUGAGUAACCUGCCCUUGACUUUGGGAUAACUUCAGGAAACUGGGGCUAAUACCGGAUAGGAGCUCCUGCUGCAUGGUGGGGGUUGGAAAGUUUCGGCGGUUGGGGAUGGACUCGCGGCUUAUCAGCUUGUUGGUGGGGUAGUGGCUUACCAAGGCUUUGACGGGUAGCCGGCCUGAGAGGGUGACCGGCGACAUUGGGACUGAGAUACGGCCCAGACUCCUACGGGAGGCAGCAGUGGGGAAUAUUGCACAAUGGGCGGAAGCCUGAUGCAGCAACGCCGCGUGCGGGAUGACGGCCUUCGGGUUGUAAACCGCUUUCGCCUGUGACGAAGCGUGAGUGACGGUAAUGGGUAGAGAAGCACCGGCUAACUACGUG